GAUGAACGCUGGCGGCGUGCCUAAUACAUGCAAGUCGAGCGAACGGACGAGAAGCUUGCUUCUCUGAUGUUAGCGGCGGACGGGUGAGUAACACGUGGAUAACCUACCUAUAAGACUGGGAUAACUUCGGGAAACCGGAGCUAAUACCGGAUAAUAUUUUGAACCGCAUGGUUCAAAAGUGAAAGACGGUCUUGCUGCCACUUAUAGAUGGAUCCGCGCUGCAUUAGCUAGUUGGUAAGGUAACGGCUUACCAAGGCAACGAUGUAUAGCCGACCUGAGAGGGUGAUCGGCCACACUGGAACUGAGACACGGUCCAGACUCCUACGGGAGGCAGCAGUAGGGAAUCUUCCGCAAUGGGCGAAAGCCUGACGGAGCAACGCCGCGUGAGUGAUGAAGGUCUUCGGAUCGUAAAACUCUGUUAUUAGGGAAGAACAUAUGUGUAAGUAACUGUGCACAUCUUGACGGUACCUAAUCAGAAAGCCACGGCUAACUACGUG
This 497-nucleotide ribosomal RNA is filed under the name uncultured bacterium. Its description in RNAcentral is "partial 16S ribosomal RNA". It matches the Rfam family "Bacterial small subunit ribosomal RNA", at positions 28 to 507 of the family's 1533-position model. The record is from RNAcentral.